RNAcentral lists this ribosomal RNA (395 nucleotides) under Escherichia coli. Its description in RNAcentral is "partial 23S ribosomal RNA". It matches the Rfam family "Bacterial large subunit ribosomal RNA", at positions 2407 to 2801 of the family's 2925-position model. Lineage: Bacteria; Pseudomonadati; Pseudomonadota; Gammaproteobacteria; Enterobacterales; Enterobacteriaceae. The record is from RNAcentral.
AGGUCAUAGUGAUCCGGUGGUUCUGAAUGGAAGGGCCAUCGCUCAACGGAUAAAAGGUACUCCGGGGAUAACAGGCUGAUACCGCCCAAGAGUUCAUAUCGACGGCGGUGUUUGGCACCUCGAUGUCGGCUCAUCACAUCCUGGGGCUGAAGUAGGUCCCAAGGGUAUGGCUGUUCGCCAUUUAAAGUGGUACGCGAGCUGGGUUUAGAACGUCGUGAGACAGUUCGGUCCCUAUCUGCCGUGGGCGCUGGAGAACUGAGGGGGGCUGCUCCUAGUACGAGAGGACCGGAGUGGACGCAUCACUGGUGUUCGGGUUGUCAUGCCAAUGGCACUGCCCGGUAGCUAAAUGCGGAAGAGAUAAGUGCUGAAAGCAUCUAAGCACGAAACUUGCCCCG